UCACUUACAAUGCCUUUUUUUGAUCAAAUUUAAUUAAUGGAUUGCAAUUACCUGAGCUGAAAUUAGUAGCAUUUAAAUGCAUCCAUUUACUUGAUUAAAGUUAGAUGAUGUGAGAAAGAGAGAAAGAGGUAAGCUAAGCCUGGAGGAACUGAGAAGAACAGAAAGAAAAGUAGAGGGGAGUCGGGUGUCAGUUGCACACAGUGAAGCAAGCUACAAAAAGCCACAGGUAAAUAAAUGACGAGGGACCGUCGUGUCACUUCCUUGUCGGUUGAGCUCGGCUGAAUAUCGUGUAAGGCUCAGUCAUCAUGCACUCUCAGAUUCUCCGCGAAGAGCGCAGUCUGGUUACAUCACUCAAAAACACUAUUCUCGCUCUCCCUUCGCUAUGUUCGUCAUGUUUUCUGGGUCCAAACCAGCCAAAGACUGGGUGGAAUGAAAAUAUCCAGAAGGCUUUAGAAAAGAAAGGAGAAGGUUCUGUCAAGUCCUGUUAUCGGUUAAUUGUGGGUGUUUGAGACUUUAUGUCACAUUUCAAAGAAGGAGCUGUUUUUUUUUAAAUGGAGCUGUUUUAUAUUUCCAUUAUUACUUUAAUGGAACAUUAAUACUAAUAUUACUGACUACAUAAGGAGUUAAAUAUGUGUCCCACACCAUCUUUAAAAUUCUUAAAAUGUUCUCCAGAAUUGUGCCACUACAGAGCUCUCUCUUUCUCUUUUGCCCUCAUUUCUCAUCCCUCUGUCCAUCUCGUUAUUUAUUCAGUAAAAUGGGAGAUUGAUCAGAUAAUUGCAUUAGGAGGGGCAGAUUGGUCAUAAUCAUGGUGGUAUUGGCAGCUCGGGGCUGGAGGCUCAGCACUGACAUUAACUCAGACUCAGCAGUCAGAGGUCAGCGCCACUGAGAUUAAACUCUUCUCUCUUGAUGGUCAGCAUGGUUCGGGCCAUUUUACAGCCUCACAUCACCCCAACUGACCCCUUGAUGACCACUUGACAAAAUGGAGGGGAGGGUGAGGACAAAAGAGAGCUGACCAAGGAGGAUGAGCGUUGAGAUGAAAGGAGGAGGGAGAGGUAACAGAGAGGAGAGGUAACGGCAGACGUGAAAAAAAAGAAGAAAAAAAAUUGCACAAAGACCGCUGCAGCAUACCAAAGGAGUGAGGUCAUGAGCACUUCCUUUGCAUCAAAUUCAUGCCAUCCAUGUACAGUAUGCAUUUCAAACAAAGUUAAUAGUGAUCUUCUCAAUUUUUUAAAUCUCUUUAUUUUUAUUAUUAUUAUUAUUUUUUUUUUUUGUUAAAUUCUGUCCAUUGGGAUCAUUUUACAAUUUAAACCAACAGAGACUGACUAUAUUAGAGUUAUUAGACAAGGUCACUUCUUAAGUCAUGACAUACUUUACUGAUAAAACGCCUCCGCUUCUCUCACAUCUGCCCCCAACCUCUCUAUGGAAGCAAUUACAUCAUAUUAAAAGGUCUAAAGAGGCAUCAGUAAUCAGAGGACAUCUCAAACACAACACAAAUUAAACCCAAGGGCUAAUUGUUGCACAACUCAUUCUAAAAAGAUGGAAAUAAUUGUAACCAGGAGGAUGGAAUAUUCUGUGUACUUUUUUAGGAAAGUUAUGGAGAUUACAACAACAUGUACAUAUUCAAGGAUCCCCCAAAGCAAAUUGACUGAUACACAGAUUAGAUAAUGUUUCUAAUUUACUUGUUAUGCAUAUAUAUCCUCAAAUAGGGCUGGUUGAAUAGUAGGGGUUGUAACAAGCACACUGGAAUUUUACUUCAGCUAUAAAUGUAACACUUAAAUGUAACACUGGGAGUAAUUUAAGGCACAAUGAACUCAUUAUUAAUGUUUUAGAUGUGUACAAGAAAUACAAUUCUCCUCUCCCAAAAUAACAGACGAUUUCAGUAACUAAAGUGAGUUUAAGCAAAAUAAAUGCUUAGUUUAGACUAAAUAGUCUUAUAUA
Long non-coding RNA from Cyprinus carpio (common carp), 1938 nucleotides. Lineage: Eukaryota; Metazoa; Chordata; Actinopteri; Cypriniformes; Cyprinidae. The record is from Ensembl.